Spinacia oleracea (spinach) is the source of this 1868-nucleotide long non-coding RNA. RefSeq lists it as uncharacterized. NCBI's taxonomy places the organism in Eukaryota, Viridiplantae, Streptophyta, Magnoliopsida, Caryophyllales, Amaranthaceae. The transcript is spliced from 8 exons. The record is from RefSeq and is a predicted model, not a curated record.
UUUAUUCCUUUCUCCUUUUCCGGUUUUUCGUCCACGCCAUUCAUCUCAUCUCCAAGGAGAUUAUUUCUCAUCUCCUCUCUUUCUCUUUCCUUUCCUUCGAAUUCCUCUAGGUAGUGCCGUAGUCCACCACCUUCUUCCUCAUUUUUUCUCUUGGCUCCCUUCUUCUUCCACCAGUCCACCACCUUCUUCCUCCCAAUUUAUCUUUUGAAGAAUUUAUGAUCGUUUUCUUCUCUCCUCCAUUGUUCACAUUUCUGUACAACUCCUGGCUACCCUAUGGACAUCUACAGGAGCUCUUCGAUACUACCACAAGGUUUCUCUCCAUGAGCUGAUUAUUAUCAUGUCUCACUUCUAUUUGUAAAUCCUAAAUUGUUAUGAUUCAUCAUAGCUAAACAGUAGUUUUGCACCUAUUACGUACUAGGUUGUGCAGAGGAGGAGGAUUGGCGCUGGGGUCGUUAGUGUGGAGUGCAUGAGAAGCUAAGCAUGUGGUGCCACUACUUCACGGUGUUCUGUGUUCUCUGUAAAUCAGUCAGAUAAAUCUGAGCUAUACGACGAGUUGAAUGCUAUUAAGGGUGAAAAAGAACAAAACAUGGCAUUUAUAAAUGAAAAAAGAUCGCAAAUGAAGCCCUUGCAGGCAGCGUUGGCCUCCUUACGUGGUGGUGGUGGAGAGAAGGGAUUUCGCAUAUGUUCACCAAAGAGGGUUCUAUUACUUCUUUCCAGGAAGCGUUGGCCUCCUUACGUGGUGGUGGUGGAGAGAAGGGAUUUCGGAUAUGUUCACCAAAGAGGGUUCUAUUACUUCUGUCCAGCCUAUCUAUGUGCCUGCUGAUGAUUUGACAGAUCCUGCUCCUACUACAACUUUUGCUCACUUGGAUGCCACUACUGUGUUAUCCUGACAGGGACAUUUCGAGCUGCUAAAUUGGUAUAUGCAGCACCUAAAAGAACUAAAGAGCUGGAUGCUCAUUCGACCUUCUCACUGAUCAUCCUAGGCUUUCUUCUCGUGCAGAGACAUCUUGAUCAAGAGUGAGUACAGUGCUCACAAUACGCAAUUCUCGAGCGCAAGAAGUCGCUGAAUCGGUACAUAUGCAAUGAGGGUUAGAGAAUGGUAUGGCUGGCAUUCAUUUUCCCGAGCUUGCAAAGAUUUUACAAGACAAUAUAGUCUAUGCCAAGACUGCGAAGUUCAUGUUGAAUCGUGUUAAUGCUGCGAAGUUGGAUUUCUCUGAGAUCUUGCCUGAGGAGGUUGAGAUAACACUCAAAGAGGUUUCCAUGAUUUCCGUGGGAACUGAAGUCAGCGAUCUUGAUCUAACAAAUAUCUCGGAACUCUGCGACCAAGUUUUGUCUUUAGCUGAAUACAGCGCUCAACUAUAUGAUUAUCUGAAAAGCAGAAUGAACACAAUUGCUCCGCAGUUGACUGGUGUUGUUGGUGCUCGUCUUAUUGCUCAUGGUGGUAGCUUGAUAAAUCUUGCAAAGCAGCCUGGAAGCAUAGUACAAAUUCUUGGGGCAGAAAAUGCUCUUUUCAGAGCUUUGAAAACAAAGCAUACAAUCCCUAAAUAUGGGAUUAUCUAUCACACAUCCUUGAUUGGGCAAGCUGCCCCUAAGAACUGGUGAUCUACCUGAGUGGACUUUUAAGGUGGAGUUUCAAUUGGAUCGUACCUGCUAAUUAACCAUAGUUCGUAGUAGAUUGGUUAAUUAGGUCGAUCCAAAUUAGUGAAAUAAUGUUAGAUUGGAGAGAACUCAAAAUACUAAUGCUAUAGAGAAAGUGGUAAAUAUUUUGUUACCAAUGGAGAAUUUGCAAAAGUAUGAUGCUACAAAAGACAAUGUCACUUUUUCUUUUUGCAAUCAAAAAAUGGUUUGUGGUUCAUGGGGAACUAUUA